UCGCGCAUCGACCGCGACCCC
RNAcentral lists this ribosomal RNA (21 nucleotides) under Serjania communis. Its description in RNAcentral is "partial 26S ribosomal RNA". The record is from RNAcentral. Lineage: Eukaryota; Viridiplantae; Streptophyta; Magnoliopsida; Sapindales; Sapindaceae.